Molecule: ribosomal RNA, 528 nt
Filed under: uncultured bacterium
Lineage: Bacteria
Description: bacterial SSU rRNA
Rfam family: Bacterial small subunit ribosomal RNA
Source: RNAcentral
AAUAGAUACCCGGGUAGUCACGCCGUAAACGAUGAGUGCUAAGUGUUAGAGGGUUUCCGCCCUUUAGUGCUGCAGCUAACGCAUUAAGCACUCCGCCUGGGGAGUACGGCCGCAAGGCUGAAACUCAAAGGAAUUGACGGGGGCCCGCACAAGCGGUGGAGCAUGUGGUUUAAUUCGAAGCAACGCGAAGAACCUUACCAGGUCUUGACAUCCUCUGCCAACCCUAGAGAUAGGGCGUUCCCCUUCGGGGGACAGAGUGACAGGUGGUGCAUGGUUGUCGUCAGCUCGUGUCGUGAGAUGUUGGGUUAAGUCCCGCAACGAGCGCAACCCUUGAUCUUAGUUGCCAGCAUUCAGUUGGGCACUCUAAGGUGACUGCCGGUGACAAACCGGAGGAAGGUGGGGAUGACGUCAAAUCAUCAUGCCCCUUAUGACCUGGGCCACACACGUGCUACAAUGGAUGGUACAAAGAGCUGCGAACCCGCGAGGGUAAGCCAAUCUCAUAAAGCCAUUCUCAGUUCGGAUUGUAGG